Long non-coding RNA from Suricata suricatta (meerkat), 296 nucleotides. RefSeq lists it as uncharacterized. The record is from RefSeq and is a predicted model, not a curated record. The transcript has 3 exons. Lineage: Eukaryota; Metazoa; Chordata; Mammalia; Carnivora; Herpestidae.
CAGAGAGACAAGCCCCAAUGGUGCAAGCACCUAUCAAGCUCUGCUUGUAUUGCAAUUGAUAUUACCUUCGAGCAGGUCUUAGAGCCAAGCCCAAAAUUGAAGUAAAGGGAGACUCUACAUAGAAGGAUUGUUCUCUGAAGAGAUCAUACUCACAGUGGAAUGACUUCACCAAAGGAUAUGAAUUUGUAUCAGCCUGUCCGCUAACUUGGCUAGUGAAAAUUGUGACCCUUCACCAGAUGAAAACUCUCAUCGACUUAAUUUAAUAAAAGAGGAAGCUCGUUCCCUCAUUUUUCAUA